UGGUGACAAUAGCGUUUUGGACCCACCUGACCCCAUGCCGAACUCAGUAGUGAAACGAAACAGCGCCGAUGAUAGUGUAGCAGCUGC
This 87-nucleotide ribosomal RNA is filed under the name Pseudoalteromonas sp. P1-26. The record is from RNAcentral. Lineage: Bacteria; Pseudomonadati; Pseudomonadota; Gammaproteobacteria; Alteromonadales; Pseudoalteromonadaceae.